CAUCUAUGACUUUUUUAUAUAUGCAUAUAUAGCAUACCACAUAGUGAGAGGCUCCAAGAAGCGAGAAAUACAAUAAUAUUUGUUGUUGUACUCUCUAUAACAUAUAUGGCAUGGCUUCCAGUGGUAUUCAAGAAAGUUGUGUUUGAUCUUUGAAGAUCUGUCCUGAAAAUGAUUGAUAUCUUUGCACUUUAUUGUCACUGAUCAAAUUCAGAUAUCAAACAUUUCUUUGUUGUCUUCUUCUGUUUUUUAAGACUAUCAUUGUCUGAAACUCCUGGUUUGGUAAGAAAAUUAUUGCACCAGACCAAGUCCCCUGGAUGAAGUCUUGUUGGACUGGACACAAUCUUAAUCUUGGGGUCCUAAUUCUUACGUCCUUUUGGUUUUUCUUGUUUUUCCUCCGCUUAAUUCUUUCUCUUUUUCUUUUGAGUUGAAAUGUGUUCUUUUUCCAGGUCAUAGCGUAAUCAAGAUCAGGUGAUGAUUGUGAUUCUGAUUCUUGAGUCUUUGUUUGCCUUGAACUAGGAGCUUUGUCAUUCUUGUUCUUCAGAAAUUUUGCAGUGAAGAGAGGAACAAACAUGAACGUGAUACGAGAAACGCGGGGACGAUCUCACCCUUUGACUGAAAGACAAAUUAAGGCCCAUGAGAUUUAAAAUAAACUUCAACAUGGGACCCCAAACGGAGUUUUCCUUGGCGGUGGUGCGACAGUCGUGCAAGAGGCUGAGCUCUGUCUGAGGCUGGUGGCUGCAGUCAAACGAUGAAAGCUUUGGAGAAUAUUUGGGUGCUCUGGAAAAUGGCUUCAUUUUCUAGCAGCCAUUUGCGCUCAAGGGCAACUGUAAAAGCUCCUCCUUCGCCGGUACUUCAUGUUUUGCAGGGCGCUAUCCAUUUCCUUUGAUGUCACAUCACAUUAGAUAUUGAGGGUUGUGGUGCUGGUGGAGGAGGAGGGGGAGCGGUGGCGGUGAGGGGUGGUAGCCAGCGCAAAUGGUGGGAGUGAUAUUGGCGGGACGGCUCAAUCUGAUUAUGUUACAUAUGGUAAUAUAUAUGAUCUUUAAUUUAGUUCAUGGUAAACUGAACUAUGAUUUUGCCUAAUGAUGGUGUUUUGUAAAGAAUGGUAUGUCAAAGAUUUGUCCCAAAUUGUUAGAAUUUUGCAAUUCUUUUUUCUACACCAACAGAUUGCUGCAUCCUGGGAAUAGAAAGCUAUCUCUUCAGUUCUGGAAAAUGUGAAAAAUGAUAGUCCAAGUUUUGCUGUCUCAUUUGGGCUUUGAUCUAUCCUCAAUGUUAGCAAUAAUUUGCCUUACAAGUUCCAC
Molecule: non-coding RNA, 1298 nt
Organism: Coffea arabica (coffee)
Lineage: Eukaryota; Viridiplantae; Streptophyta; Magnoliopsida; Gentianales; Rubiaceae
Source: RefSeq, a predicted model, not a curated record